Rhododendron vialii is the source of this 2195-nucleotide long non-coding RNA. RefSeq lists it as uncharacterized. The record is from RefSeq and is a predicted model, not a curated record. Lineage: Eukaryota; Viridiplantae; Streptophyta; Magnoliopsida; Ericales; Ericaceae. The transcript is spliced from 5 exons.
AUUUUUUAUUUGAGGGCUUUUUUUGAAGAAAAUGGAUUUUCAUGAUCGUUGGGUACAAUGGGUGAUGGUCUUCAAGAUACAAUGAAGCCCAACUGUUAAGACUGCCGGCUACUUGCAUUUGCAUGAACAAAAUCAGACCUGAAUACCUUUGAAUUUUUCAAGUACGCCAAACAAUAGAACAGAUAUAGGUGGAAUGAAUUCUCAAGAAGAAACAAUGGAUAGUUUCUUAGUUCUCUUCUAUAUGGUGGAACCUCUCAGCUGGGUAUAGGGGAAGACAGCAAGAUAGGGUACUAGUGUUAUCUGCCCAUCCAACCUUGAUUAACAGAAUUUUUUAGUUUGUAUAGAAAGGUAACAGGUUGGACAACAAUCGUGUUCUAUAAUUGCUACAAUCGCUAGUGCAUAAAAUGUGAAAUUAGUUUCCUCACCAGGAACAAUGCUCUUGCCUCAGGUUAACGGCACAAGGGAUGUAAUGGCAUGGAAUGGAAACAACCAGUUGUUUGAUUUCAGCAUUGGAGAGGAUUCGAUCAUGUGCGCCAAUCCAUCUUCAACUAAGGCAGCCAGAACAACAUAGUCAUGAGAUACAUACAAGCAAGGGGAAGGAGAUCGAGGUAAUAAGUUCCAUACUUCUCUUCAUACCCUUGGAAAGUAAACUUGCAAUUAUAUUUCAUCAAAUACUGCAGAUUGUAAUUGGAAUAGAAUAGCAAUCCACCCAAUGCUUUUCUUAACAAAUGCAUAGUAUGGAAAUGAGUAGUUUAUCAACGUAAUAAGUUUUAUAAAGGUAGCAUUCUAGCAUUUCUACAGUGCAGUAUGCACCUCUUAGAGCUAGCAACACCACUAAUACAAUGUACUUAUAUCCAUUCGAAGUAUAUAUUAGAGAAUUGGACAAGUUUUUGCCAUGGCUUGUCCUUCGCUUGUUUUUGGGCUGGACUACCAAAAAUACCCCUUCUGAGGAUGUUGUCUGGUUUUUGUUGUUGAGGGAUAUUGUUGUCAUUUCAAUAACAGUCCAGAUUUUAGGGCACCACGUAAUGUAGGGCUUUCCUUACUCAAGAAGCAAAAGCCAAAAUUUUCCUUCUUUUCUACCUUCUCUUGUACAAUUGGCGUUCAUGAAGCAAAAGGCACAAUUUCUUCUUUUGCUUUGAGGGAUGAAGCCCUUUCUCUCACACACAGAGGAGACUAUUUUCUCAAUCGAUUUUGCCUGACUAUUCCGUUCAUGCCGGCAUGUCGUAUUGGAUCCACCCUCGCUACCGAUGUUAGGCAGAGUAGAACCAGUUAGCAUUGUUGAAGGUACUGAGAAACUUGAGAAUCGGUGGAUACCGUAGUAGCAAGCACCUAGCUUUGAUCAGUGAAACCAGAGCGCCUAAAGCCUCUCUCAUCUUACUGAAGUUAUUUUUCCAUGGUGUCACUUUUGAGCACCAAAGAAGAGGCGUAACCUCCGUAAAGAUUGACGCCAAGGCUGCCCAAACACGGAUUUACCCAGUUCCUGUUUCAAAUGGCUUCCAAAAUGAAACAAAUACUGGAUUCCUGAGAGUUCCUGAAACCCAUAACAAAUUGCAGAGUUUAGCAAUGGAAUGCAAACUAUCUUCGUUCUCACGCAUCCGAUCCGAAGCAAACAUAGUACUUGUCCAUGGAGUUUUUCCAAGGACGAGCAUUGAUUCGAGAUGCUUAUAAUGAUGCUCUGAAUAAGCUGGGACAUGAACUUGAGGAAGUUGUUGAGCAGGCAUAGUGAGCUAAGGAGUUGCCCUGAUUCGAGUUUUUUGCGGGGUAUGUCGAACUUUUCCUCUCCGAGGAGUUGGCUUCUGAGCUGCUACUACGUAUUUUGUGAGAGAAACCUACUAAGAUGGAGUAAAUGGUCAGACUAACUUACUAAGAUGAAGUAAAUGGGACUGCAAAUGUGAAAAACAUUAUAUUGUAUAGAAUGGAUUCAGGGAAAUUAUGACUUUUAGUUAGUUGCAUACUUAUAAUUAGCUUUGAUAAACCAAGGUCCAAAAAGCAAUUUGCGAUGUUCAUGCUUUUGGACUACGGACUUCCUUGUUUUUGUUGUGUGGUCAUAGUGUUAGGGUAUAUUAUUGUUUAAACUUUAUGAUAUAACGCGGUGCUGAAAGGAAGAUAGGUUAGGUGUUGGACGUUAUUCGGGGGUGUAAGAGAGGAAAAGCUUAAUGAUGCAGAGUUAAUGUGAGCUUUGGAAUUGUUGGUGU